AGGAGUGGGGUGGGUGGCAGGAGAAGACUUAAUCAGAGUGGAUUCUGGAACAUUCAGGACUGCGACACCUUGUAUCUGGAUAGAGAUUUGGGUCUGCGCAGGAGACGACUGGUGGUCCAGCGAGGAUUAAGGACUUGAUGGCGUAACCUACUUCUUCCCCACGAGGAGAUUGGGGAGACUGGUUUGAAGAGGAUUGACCAAAUUGGAAGAAAAUAUUUGUCCUUUGCUUUGGUGUCAGAAAAGGGAAUUUUCCGAUCUGCCACACCUCAGUGUUGCGCCAGAAAUAAUUCUUGGCUCCCCUGGAAACCAUCAGGCAAGGUAGGGCAGAGCUGCUGCUGCUGCUGCUGCUGCUGUCGCGACCACCCUGGGCUUCCUACUGAGUGGGCUGCCACCAAGUGAAGGGAUCUGCACUGAUGCUCUGAUCAUCCAGAGGUCCUUAGAUCAGCUCUGAGCAGAGUCCACUCUUGGAAGAACCUGCCUUUUGGAAGCUGCUGCCAUCUUAUGCUUGGAAAGGUGAGCAUGGGGACUAACCUCAGGAUAUUGCUUGGAAACUAGUUGUUGUAAGGUUUUCUGAAAAAUGAGUGGGUAAAGGUUUGAAGAACUCCCAUUAAAAUGAUGUGUCAGUCUAGGGAACUAAGAGAUGAAUAAAACUGGGACAGCAGCAACCGUCUUGUAUUGGGGGAGGGAAGCUGGAAAAUCAGAGUUCUGGCAUCCCAUUUUGUCCCUGUGGUGGGUCUCGUAUUUGUGGGAGGGGGUUUGCUGGGCCCUGUACUAUGCGUAGUGGCCCCACCCAUGACUGUGCAUCCAGAGCAUGAGCGCAGUGCGCCCUGGGUCUCUGGCCUGGGACAAACACCUCCUGCUUGUUAUAUAACUCAGGGUGGCCUGUGUCUUCCUUCUCAAGCCUUCUUUGCAACUCUACUUCCCCACUGCUCGGGGCUCACAGCUGAGGGUCUGAUGGGGAACAUUGGGAGGUUCCUCCCUGUAUGGGCUAGCCCUUGCCCACUUAGUGACCAAAUUUGAAUACAGAAAUGGUCUGCUGUCUCAUUUGGGGAUGUGGGCCCCAGAAUGUCCUUCUGAGUACCCUGUGUCACCUAUGGUCCCUGGGGCUUGGAGGUGGGGGUAGUGUCCUCCUUUCCCUUUUACCCUUUCUGAAGAAGACCUGACAGUAUUAGUGUGAGGGAAGGUGUGAAAGCCUAUUGGGAGGGGUUGGCAGUUCCCCUUCCUUGUCUCUAGCUUUCCUUUCCCUGGCUGGGUUCUGGAUUCCUUUGAGGCUGCCAUUUUGAAGGCAUCUCUGCUGGUCUUCCACAUGGUGGCUGGUGCUGUUGGUUUUGCUGGCCCUGCUGUGCCAAUUCUGAGAAGUGGGUGGGGGUAAAACAGGGGUCUAUGAUAGAGGGGUACAGGCACUACAUAUAUGGAUGUAACUAUGAUUGCUGCAGUGAAGGUGGUCUGGAGGCAGAACUGUCCGAUCCCACCCUUGGUCACAAGAACUGGGUCGGGGUCUAAAUGGAAACCUUCUGGGUCAGGGUUCCAUGACCUAGGGCCCCAUCUUUAGAGUAUCGGCACUUGGCUUCCAUACCCUAGUUAGCCUGAAACUCAGAGAUGUUCCAUGAAGAGCCUAGUGUUAGGGAGAGUAGAGGCAGACACAGCAGCUCAUCUGAGAUGUGGCAGACCUGUGUUUUGUGUUCUUCAAAUAGGCUCUGUCUCUGGCAGCCUCCACAUGGGGAUGGGGGUGAGGUACACAGCAGGCAGCAGUGUUUGGUCGGUAGCCCUGCCUUUCCUCCAUGCCCCCUGCCAGGGCUACAGUUCUAACUGCUGUCCUCUAGUGAGGCUCCCUGCUGCCCAACCCUUUCUAGGCUCUGCUGCGGAUAGCGGCCAUCUUGUCUUCCUGCUCAGAGAUUUAAAAUGGUUUCCUAUCAUUGUCAGGUUGAAAUUCCUCCCAUUCAGUCAAAUACUCAGGGCUGUCUGAAAGUGGCCUUAGCUUUCCCAAGAAGCCUUCCUCAGGUAAAAACUGGCCAACUCACAUUUCUCUGCUUUUAUUUUCUCCCUUUUCAACACCGGUGUUUUCCAUGCCUACUCUCUACCUGUUGCAGUCCCACUGUCUUCAUGGAGCCCUCCCUGAGCGCCCUCUAAGAAGAAAUCCCUGUAACCACUGCUAUAAAUCUCCUUUCUUUCAUGGUAUUUUGUUGUGUGUAGUUCCGUGUGUUUUCAAUCAGAGUUUGUGCUCUAACAAGAAGCCUGGGGAAGAGGGAGGAAGACAUCCCUAUUCAGAGCUUCUGUUGCUGGAUGCCACAUUAGACACUUCAAGAACAGUUACUUGUUUCUUUUUUAUCAUAACCCUUUUAAGAAGAGUCCUGUGGCUGACAAGAAUCCCAGUCUUCCAGAGUCUUUUUCCUGUAUGAAUCUUCCAUGUUUGCAAAAUCUUAGAAGGCAACACCUUUCAAUGUGGCUAUUUUAGGAAUAUUGUAAGUCUCUUAACACUAUAUUAGGUCAUUCAACUGGUCUAUAUCUACUUUGUAACAUUCUCCUUUUCUUGCAUAGCCAGAUUCGGUCAAGGUGAUAUAUUUUUUUGUAGAUGAAAUAAACAAACCUUGGUUGUUUUUUUGUUUUGUUUUGUUUUGUUUUUUCCUGCCUUCCUCCUGUAAGAACAGCCAGAGGUAGGUAGGUAGGAAUCCCUUCAGAGGAGGGUGAGCCCCAGGCAUUGAGGCAGGUGAACACAUUGGAUUGGUCAUACCAUGUCUGUACCCCAAUCUCAGUUGGGUAAUUUUAGACAAGUCAUUCUAUUUCCAACCUAAGUGACCUUAGUUUUUGAAGUAGAGCCCUAGCAGCCUAUUCUGUAGGCAUGUCCAUUGUAUUGUCUGUUCCUUGUAGAUUUGUCUGAAGCCCUCUUUUCCUGCCUGGGGACUUAUGACAUGUAAAAUGAGAUAAUAGCAGGUGACUACCAAAUUAAGGGAGAUUUAUGUACUUCUAUGCUGUCACAGCAAGUCCAGAGAGGAAUGUCUCAGUAGUUUGGACCUCAAGCCCACAAGGUGGUGGUUUUCCCCCAGGGGUAGUGCCCCUUUGUUUCCUGCUUUAGAAACAAAGGGGCACUGGUGGUAGCAGAAUGGAGGUUAAGCAGGGAGUGUUCCUGGGUAGGAGCCUUUUGAUGCUAGGUUUGUUUCUCUUCUUGCUGAAUCUCAACAGUGACUGCAUGCUUCCUGAUGCUGUGAGCCCUGUGGGAGGGGUAUCUGAGCACCCUGAUGGCCCUCAUCACCAAUUCUGGGCUGUGUAGCUGAGAGUCCUCUGUCGACAGCAAUCUGGGCCCUGGUGAUGGCUGUUUUGGUGUGUGUGUGUGUGUGUUUCCUUUUUUUCCUCUUUGGAAGAUGACUCAGUGUAUCAGGAGCCGGGAGAUGGAGCUCUCAGCUGAACAGCCAGAAUGUUCUGACAACAUGAAAGCAGCAAAAACAGCUCAUUGGGGCUCUGGGCCGAUUCUCAGCCUUGGGGCAUUUUUAGGGAGGGCUAGGUAGUAAGAAGGCCACUGCUGUGUGUCAGGGAUGGGGAAACACCAGACACCUCACAAGGGUUCUGAGACCCUUGGAUUUUAGAUUCAGAGGAGAGACAGCUGGUUAUUCAGUGGGCUUAGAAAACAGUACCUUUUUACACACACACACACACACACACACACACACACACACACCCUUUCUUCUUCUCCUUUUUUCUUCUUUUUUUUAAAAAUUCUUCUCACUGGUCCCAAAUGAUAGACAUAUUUUUCAGAGCUGGAUACCCCUUAGGAUUUCUCAGUGGGUCUGUAUGUGAUAGGUUUGGUGGUCUUCUUGAGGGUAGAAGGUGACAGAUUCCUUCUUCCCACAGUGGCCAAGGAGAUCCUCCAUGACAGUGUACUGUAGUCCCCUGGAGUAGAUGCUUUAGUAGAGGUAGGAUGCUGGAACACCCUUUGUCUGCUGAGCUUUGUGUGGAUGGUAGUCUACCUCACUUGCCCUAACCUCCCCUGUAGUAUGUCAGCUUUCCCAUUCCUUGUGGUGGCAUGUCAGAGUUUACUUUUUCCUUCCAUCUUCCUCGCUUUCUUUGAAAUGAAUUCUCUCUGCAUCUUCCUUCUGCCCCUUUAGCACAUCGUCAUGGAAGCUCAGAGUUCUAGGCUUUUCCUGCAGCAUUGUGCUAAAGACACAUGACCCCUUGCCCCACCCAUCAUGCCUCUAUUGCAAUUGUAUCCUGGUCAAACUAUUACCCUUUUCUCUCUGGCAUCUUUGACACAGUCUAGGUGAGGAACAAACAAUUUAAGUUUGGGUAUGAGAGACAUCCUGGCCCUGAGCUUCAUCCAGGCUUUUUCCAGGUACCACUUUUAAUUAUUACAUUUUCUAGCCACUGAUUUUAGUGUAGACAUUUGGCACCAGAGCACUUCUUCUACCCAAGGACCACCUAGAAUGACUCAUUUGGGAUCUCUGGGAGGUAUGUCUGAGGACCAAAUGGGGGCAGGGAGAUAUGACUGAGAUCACAGCAGAGUAGAGCAGAACAGGCAUAGGAACUAGCUAUAACUAUAUCUAUACUCACAGUGCUCUCAAAGGUAUCCAAAGCCUCUAGCUUUUGUGUCCGAGUAGAGAACAUCAUGACUACAAAGGCUGCAUAUGUGUAGGAGUUGGGUACUUGAGGGUUAUACUUCUUGGUUCUGAGCUAUGCAUAUGAUGAAAACCUGACUAUCAUGUUUCAGAGAACUUUGUUGUUUGUUUGUCACUUGACAAAAGGGUAGUGGAUAGGUACUCAGAUGUUGUGCCCACGGGUACUGGUCUUUUUCCACAUUGCUCUGCCCAGGGUUAUCUUGCAUCUGUCACAGCUGAGGACUAUUAUCUCAGGGGCUAGAUAUAAACUCCGAUUGAAAAUCAUUGCUUGAUUAAUUUUGUGAACAGAGCCCAGCUGAUCUACCUUCCUUUCUCUUCCCAACAGAGAAUUCAACAGAAUACAACUCCAUCUCUAAGUAGGUGACAACCUCUUGGCAACUCAGACUCAGCUGAGGAUGAUGUUUGUGCAUCUAAGCCAUACUGCUGGUUAAAGCAGUUUGCUUGCAUUUUUAUAGAACAGAAAAGAGGAGCUACUUGACCAUUUUGCUUUCAGUAGGUAAGUGUUCAUCUUCAUUCUUGUAUGUUCUUUUCUACUUUCAAAUAUGCAAAGUCAAUAGAUAUCUGUAAUCCUGGGUGCUAUACCUUCUUCCUCUCCUAUGUGCCCUCCCUUUGUCUUCAGAAGGAAAGGCUGGAAUUUAGUAUUCAGCCACUACAUAUCUCCUUAGACUCACAUUUUAGAAGCUAGUUUUCUCUAAAAUGGAUCCAGUAGCCAUGUCCUUGGUGAGGAGUACUAAGAGCCUCAUGAAGGACCCUGCUCCACUCACUGUGGCCAGCUUGUGCUGAGGCUCUUAGCUGGCUGGCUGCAUGAGGAUGGUCCUUGCCAGCACUUGGCAUAGAUCUGCCAAGUUCUAGCUCCAAAUCUCUAGACUGGUAGGAACCUCAACUAUAUAUAGCCUUGAGCUAAGCCAUUCUUAUCAGACGUGUCUAUCCUUCCCUGUGGGAGAAUAGUACUUCUAUCAUAACCACAGUGUGGAGAGUGAGUUAUCUCCAAGGGCUGGAAGGUGUAUAUGUCCACAUCAGGCUUCGGUCUGCCAUACUUAUUCUUCUUUUUCCUAUUUCAGAUGCUGAUAAAUGAAAGGUCAUGCUGGAUGAAGUUGCUGAGGUGGAAUGAGGGCCAGUAGGAUGCCAUGUUUAGAGAAGGAAAGACUUGGGCACUCAGUAUGGCUAAAGGUGGUUAUGCCAUACAUCAAAUACAAGCUUACAGUAUCUCCUCUGUUUCCUGCUUAACUUGCUCUACUCAAGAAUAUCUUUUGACCUUUCUUCACUCUUUUGACCUUUUACUCUCUGUGCUUUCCUACAACCCUUCCUCUUCUUCCCUUUGAUUUUUUUCUUUAGGAUGAAUGAGGACAUUCUCAGCUGCUGGUCCAAGAGCCAUGUCUGUUCUUUCUGUUCUUUAUCUUUACCCCCAUUUAGCAAGGCAGGGAGAGGAAGUUGUCCUGGGAAGGAAGGUGGGUAGUGAAUAAGCCCAUAGUGUUGAGUGGUGGAGUAUGGUAGAUUAGAUAGUCUUUUCCUUCUCAUAGGUACUCUUGAUUCACCAAUUUAUGUGGCUCCAUGACUUCAGCUGUGGUCUGAUGUAACAUGGACCUAGUCUUGUUGGUGGACUAAUAUCAGGCUGCUGAUUAGAAACUAGAAGCAACAAAGGAAAGGCCUGAGCCUUCCUCCCAGAUAGGUAGAGUAUGUUUGCUCCCUGGACAUGUUCCCUCAAACUUUACCAUUCAGAACCUCCAACAAUUGUUCUUUUCUUUCCAUUCCUCCAUUCCUGGCUUCUCUGUGAAUGGGGUGAGUAACUGGCAGAGUGCUGGCAUAAGGUCAGCCUGCUCAACUAGCUAGGCUGUGAGAUAUUUGGGAGACAUCUGGGCAGCACUGUAGACAGGGUAUGAUAGUACCAGGGCACUUUUACUUCCCACAGUUGUGGGAAGGAAGCUUCUUGGCUGCUGACAUCUAACCUGAGCUUAUUCUGGGUGUAGUUCCCUUUACAGUCCCUAAGGUUCUAGGAACUGCCCAGGGCUCAAGCAUGCUCUUUCCUCUGAAGAAUGGGUAUUUUGGACACACUGAGCUUUUAAGGAGCUUAGGCUAGGUCUGGGGUCUAAAGUUUAGACUGGGCUGAGCAGUGACUGGAUUCUAGCUUUUUCUCUACUUGGGAUUUUCCUUUGAACAAAUCAUUUUCUUCUUUAGGCCUUCAAUUGUCUUCAGAAUAUCUCCAGUCACUUGACAGGGAAACACUUUUCCUCUGCCUUACAACAACAGCAGUGUUGAGUUAAAGUGGUGAUGUCCCUCAAAACUGGAAUGACAGCUUCAUUGUAGACACAAACCAGAAAGCAGACAGCAGGUGCUUGCUGCAAUACUCAGAAGUCCCAGUCUAUCAUUGCUGGCAGUGUUCUUGGCCCUUAGGGCUACUAGGAACUAAAUAGCAGCCAAAUGUCUAGGGUCUAAAGAGGAAAGGAAUAAUCAUGGAUAAUUCUACUAGGUACCUGUAGAAUCUCAACCCCAGCCAGGUCAUGCUACUUACACUACUGGCAUUAUGUAGAUGUGUUUCACCUUCCCUGCCCCCUCCCACUACUGUCCAAGGAAGAUUAAUGAAUCCGACUCACACAUUUGAUUGUCUUGUCUCUCCCCUUGAGACAAGCCUCUGAGAUCCCUGCCAAGAAAGUCAGUUUGGAUGAGUUAUCUGUUAUUUUAAGGAGCUGGACAAAUUCAGUCACUGACUCAGUGGUGUGCGAGGGACAGCUGGGGAAUGGAGGAGCGGAAGUUUGACAAAAAGGUAAGUUCAGUCAGCUUUACAGCUGGGAGGUGGAAAGGAAUAAACAUGGUUCUUCAAGAUGAACCCCACUGGGAGGCUGAAGCCAGAUGUGCUGCUAGUUGUACUUCAGAACCCUAGGUCUUGUGCCCAACUCUAGUGACCUCUGCUACCAUUCACAACCCUUCUUUUGCCUGAUUGGGAAAGUGGGUGGAGAGCAAAGAGGAUCUUGGCUUUGCCUUUUGUCACACAGCUGUCUCUGUAAAUUAGGGCUGCACCACCCUGCCCAUUUCCCUCUUUCAGACCCUCAUCUAAUGCUUUGCUCCUAGUCACUAACCUGGCUUCUGCUGUGUGACAGGCAGAAUUGUGCAUUGCCAGCCAAGCAGGCAGGACAGUUAGCAUGCCUUGUAGGAUCUAAGCAUGCCUGGCACUUUUCCCUUGGCCUCUGAGUCUGUGAGUUCUGGAAGACAGCUGUGGUACUGAAGAUGAAAUAGCAUGGCUGACCAUAGUAAAAUGCAAGGUGUCCUACCCAGGGACCUGAUUGGUCUACACCAUCUGGGUUCCACGGUAUCUUUUCCUUACUAGGGCUAUGAAUUGUUGAGUGCAUAUCUUGGCUCUGUCCUCUGGCUUUAGUGUGUCCCCAAGACUGCAGCCUUAGAGGAGGAUGUGAACUCUCACAGGUCACUUUUUUAUACAUAUGGCAUGCCUCUGGGAUAAGUAAGAGAUACUGUCCUUUUAAUCAGCCUGCCAUCUAUAAGAGGGCAUUGCUUUCCUUCCUUUUCCUGGUCAGUGGCCAUGAGGAAAGUAUACACUGGGUUUGGUUCCUUGCUGGUUCCUUUCCACUGCUUAUGGUUGAUAAGCAAGAAAAUACUCUUGAGGCCCCAUGGUCUGUACAGAGCCUGGUGCUGUAGAGUCAUGCCCAUGUGGGUAGAGUACAGGAAUAGGGUGAAGGGAACCACACAGGGCCAUGGUUGUUUGUGUUUGGAUAAUAGGAACAAGUCACGAGGGCGUGGGAAGACACAUCCAAAUGUCUAGACUCUAGGCAGGGUGGAGCCAGGAUGAGUCUCUAGUGAAGCAAGGAGAUGGCAUAUCUUGGUCUCCGUAUGCCAUCCAUGGAAGAGGAAACUGUUCUCCCAGUCUUGGUUACACAUAUAUUAUUUCCUUUAUAUUGUUAGUGAAAGUGUAAUUAUUGAAUGAUUUAAAUUAAAGUCACACAGUUGAUGAGUGAUAUUGAGAUUUGAUUCAGCACUUCUGAUUCCAAAGCCCUUGUUUUCUCCUCACCCUUGGGCUGAAGUCAGACAUUUUUGUGAAUUAACAUCCUCAAGAAAUUAUAUAAUCUCAAGUGAAAGCAAACUCUCUAUGUCCUAGCAAGGCUGUGCACAUUUUUGGGGGAGGUGAGGCAGAUGUUAUUUGGUGUCUGUGGAAGAGGGAAAAUUCUCUUCUAAAUGUAGCGGAAAGUACUAGGUGCUGGAAGUCCAGAGGCCCAAGACUAGAUUUCUUCUUGUGCUGUGGGUGUAAGAGUGCCAAUAACAAAUCAGCGUAAAAUACACAGUAGGCAUAAGUAACAUUGUGUGUGGAUGAGAAAGAUACCACCCACUGAAAAUAUGGUGACUAAUUUCUGUCAUGUCAGCACUUAGGAGGCUGAACCAGGAAACUUGAGUUCCAGGCUUGCCUGGGCUAUGUAGUGAGACCUUAUCUCAAAACAAAACAAAACAGGAGAGAAGAAAAAAGGGGUCCAGAUGAUAGACAAGUCCUGAGGCACCUCAGUACCCUGGGAAACUGUCUUAGUUGGGCUGUCUUCCAAAAGAUUAGAACUGAUAUGGACACCAACUCCUUUUUUCCCUAGGUAUUAAAAAAAAAAAUCCUUACAAGUUCUCUGUGGCUCACAGAAGCCUGUACUAAGUUAGGAAUCAAGGCGGGAGGAGAGGUCAGACUCUGAGCCACCAUCUUACUGUUAUUUUCACUUUGUAUGGCUGCCCUUAACCUCUGUCUUCUUCCUUCAACCCUCAUCAGGCAUUAGCUGCCUUUGUGCCUCAGUCUAAUCACCAUGCCUUUCUUGUCUGUGCAGCACAGGGAACAUUCAGGUCAGGUCUUUGCUAAGUCACUGACUAAAUACGUGCUUACAGGUGGCUAAUUUGAAUCCCAAUCUCUGCUAGGACUAUGGUUUCUUCAGGAAACGGACAAGCCCAGGUGGGGAGAAGUCACCCAGUGUUAGAUGCUUUGUGUGCUGUGUGCUCUGUGAGGUCGAGGUGGGCCAGUGGUGCUGAGCCACAAGUGCUUCUGCUCCAUGGUGUUCAACUUCAGGACUCAGAACUUGUUUACUUGGAAAGAGGUGACUCUGGUGACCCAGGCUAUGCAGUUCCCUCCUCCUUGGCCUAACAUUGCUGCUUGGGACUACUCAAAAUAUAGGAGCUACCAUUGGCUGAAAGUGCCAAAAGCUGCACAGGGAUCAGGUGAUGUGUGGUUAGAGGUUAUGGCAUGGGGAAAUAGGUCAGGGAAAGUGGAUUUAUGCAGUUUUGUGUUCAUUCCCAUGAACACAAGUCAGUUUACUUGUCUGUGAAACAGGUUCUGAAUGAGGAUCCUGUUGGAGGUUCCAACUCAUGUCACCUCUAGGCCUGUCCUGGAUGUUUGUGCAAUGUUUGCUUAGCCAGAAACUCAAGGCCAGGAAAAUGAACCCAGUUGAGAGAGAACACCAAGUUUUGUUCCAAAGAGGCACCCUAGCUAGUGCUAGUGAGAAUGAUGGUUGGUGAUGGGCUUUGGGUAGGUAGUAGGAAUGUGUUUUUGCAUGGGUGGCAGUGAAGAGAAAGGGUUAACUGAGUGAAAGUAGUUGGUGAGGACCUACUAGGUGACAGGAUAGGACACUGUUCCCUCUUAGAGACAAGAGAUGUGCAUAUGAGAGCUGGCUGUGGUGCAGGACAUGGAUUGGAAGACCCUGUAUGUUCAAGGGAGGUGUUCUGUUCAAGGCCUGCUCCUGUGCCUCCUUUGCACAGUAAGUGUGGCUGGGACUCUGUCUAUCUGCAAUGUGACAAAAAUUCUCCAAAGCAGCCUGGGUAGGAGCUCCUGGGCCAAGGAACAUGUGGAACAGUCUUAAGGAUUCUCAGGAGCUUUAAGAAGCCUUAAAGUCACUACACACUUAUAUCUCUUGACAUUAGCUGGUUCACUGAGUCAUUUCCCAAUACUGCGCAGAGGGGUAGCAUUGGUCUUGCCAUGACUGAACUGAGCCAGGGAGAGCCCUCUCAGGACCCAAUUGCUUGUUCCCAGCUUUGGAUUUCCAACCCAAGUCCUCUACUCUAGCUAGACCAGGG
Peromyscus leucopus (white-footed mouse) is the source of this 10649-nucleotide long non-coding RNA. RefSeq lists it as uncharacterized. The record is from RefSeq and is a predicted model, not a curated record. NCBI's taxonomy places the organism in Eukaryota, Metazoa, Chordata, Mammalia, Rodentia, Cricetidae. The transcript has 2 exons.